AGGAAAAGAAACUAACAAGGAUUCCCCUAGUAACUGCGAGUGAAGCGGGAAAAGCUCAAAUUUUAAAUCUGGUAGUCUUUUUGGCUAUCCGAGUUGUAAUUUAGAGAAGUGUUAUCCGCGCUGGACCGUGUACAAGUCUCCUGGAAUGGAGCGUCAUAGAGGGUGAGAAUCCCGUCUCUGACACGGACUACCAGGGCUUUUGUGAUAUGCUCUCAAAGAGUCGAGUUGUUUGGGAAUGCAGCUCUAAAUGGGUGGUAAAUUCCAUCUAAAGCUAAAUAUUGGCGAGAGACCGAUAGCGAACAAGUACCGUGAGGGAAAGAUGAAAAGAACUUUGGAAAGAGAGUUAAACAGUACGUGAAAUUGUUGAAAGGGAAACGCUUGAAGUCAGUCGCGUUGGCUAGAAAUCAACCUGGCUCUUUUUGUUGCUAGGUGUACUUUCUGGUUUAAUGGGUCAGCAUCAAUUUUGAUUGGUGGAAAAGGGCCUGGGGAAUGUGGCAUCUUUGGAUGUGUUAUAGCCUCUGGUCGUAUACACUGGUUGGGAUUGAGGACCUCAGCACGCCUCCGGGGUUGUGUUAAGGAUGCUGGCAUAAUGGCUUUAAUCGACCCGUCUUG
RNAcentral lists this ribosomal RNA (612 nucleotides) under Rhodocybe roseiavellanea. Its description in RNAcentral is "partial large subunit ribosomal RNA". It matches the Rfam family "Eukaryotic large subunit ribosomal RNA", at positions 54 to 656 of the family's 3401-position model. Lineage: Eukaryota; Fungi; Basidiomycota; Agaricomycetes; Agaricales; Entolomataceae. The record is from RNAcentral.